GCAGCCAUCAUUUAAAGAAAGCGUAAUAGCUCACUGGUCGAGUCGGCCUGCGCGGAAGAUGUAACGGGGCUAAACCAUGCACCGAAGCUGCGGCAGCGACGCUGAUGCGUUGUUGGGUAGGGGAGCGUUCUGUAAGCCUGCGAAGGUGACCUGUGAGGGUUGCUGGAGGUAUCAGAAGUGCGAAUGCUGACAUAAGUAACGAUAAAGCGGGUGAAAAGCCCGCUCGCCGGAAGACCAAGGGUUCCUGUCCAACGUUAAU
This 259-nucleotide ribosomal RNA is filed under the name Salmonella enterica subsp. enterica serovar Typhimurium. RNAcentral's name for it is "partial 23S ribosomal RNA". It matches the Rfam family "Bacterial large subunit ribosomal RNA", at positions 1112 to 1369 of the family's 2925-position model. The record is from RNAcentral. Lineage: Bacteria; Pseudomonadati; Pseudomonadota; Gammaproteobacteria; Enterobacterales; Enterobacteriaceae.